Molecule: ribosomal RNA, 367 nt
Filed under: uncultured organism
Description: bacterial SSU rRNA
Rfam family: Bacterial small subunit ribosomal RNA
Source: RNAcentral
CGUAGGUGGCAAGCGUUGUCCGGAUUUAUUGGGUUUAAAGGGUGCGUAGGCGGUCCUAUAAGUCAGUGCUGAAAUAUCCCGGCUUAACCGGGAGGGUGGCAUUGAUACUGCAGGACUUGAGUAGAGUUGAGGUUGGCGGAAUUGACGGUGUAGCGGUGAAAUGCUUAGAUAUCGUCAAGAACACCGAUAGUGAAGACAGCUAACUAAGCUCUAACUGACGCUGAGGCACGAAAGUGUGGGAUCAAACAGGAUUAGAUACCCUGGUAGUCCACACUGUAAACGUUGAUUACUCGAUGUUGGCGAUACACAGCCAGCGUCUUAGCGCAAGCGAUAAGUAAUCCACCUGGGGAGUACGCCGGCAACGGUG